This 423-nucleotide ribosomal RNA is filed under the name uncultured bacterium. RNAcentral's name for it is "bacterial SSU rRNA". It matches the Rfam family "Bacterial small subunit ribosomal RNA", at positions 207 to 622 of the family's 1533-position model. The record is from RNAcentral.
AAGACCUUGCGCUUUUGGAGCGGCCGAUGUCUGAUUAGCUUGUUGGUGAGGUAAAGGCUUACCAAGGCUUCGAUCAGUAGCUGGUCUGAGAGGACGGCCAGCCACACUGGGACUGAGACACGGCCCAGACUCCUACGGGAGGCAGCAGUGGGGAAUUUUGGACAAUGGGGGCAACCCUGAUCCAGCCAUGCCGCGUGAGUGAAGAAGGCCUUCGGGUUGUAAAGCUCUUUCAGCCGGAACGAAACGGUUACGGUUAAUACCCGUGACUACUGACGGUACCGGAAGAAGAAGCACCGGCUAACUACGUGCCAGCAGCCGCGGUAAUACGUAGGGUGCGAGCGUUAAUCGGAAUUACUGGGCGUAAAGCGUGCGCAGGUGGUUUUGUAAGUCAGAUGUGAAAGCCCCGGGCUCAACCUGGGAACU